AGUUCUGUCCUCUUUUCCAGGUCUCCAUGGUGGAGAGGAGGUGGUGUGACUCAGGUCCAAUCUGUCUUGCAACACCUGAAGUUGCUUUUGUUGGCUCAAAGUCCUCCCGGAUCCAUUCUUACACUGGUUUCCGUACAGACCGUGGAAGUUGUACUUUGGUCGACAGUGUUUUACAUCCACAUCGAAGUUACACGUCCAGUCAACCACAAUACCAAUGGCCCCUCCCUGUCAGGACACAAGCACAUAAUGCACGGACAACCAGUGGUUCACCGGUUCACUGCUAGUGCCUGAAAGAUACAGGCUGACUUCUGCUCCGAGCUACCAGCCUGCUGCCUGAAUCCUGAGGAGGAGAAUGUGGGCAGCUUCAUAAUCACAUCUCAUUUCAUGCCCAUCACCAAAAGGCAAGUGACAGGUGGGAAGAUGGAGCUCUGUCAUGCACCGGGAGCCUUAAUAGCAAAAGAGACAAGACCUUUGCAUGUCACCGUGACUGCUCCCUUUUUUACGUCUUUAUAUCAGUGCACAGUGGGAGCUAAAAUCCAGUUUCACAGUUACCUCAGUUUAGGAUCUUUCAAGGUUUGAAAUGAAAAAAAAUGAUCAUCCACAUUUGUUGUGGCUUGACUGAAGAUGGUCAAGAUUAAAGCACCUGAAGAGAAAGGGCCAGAUUAAAGCCGACACCAACCCGACAUCAGAGAACUAGCGGCGACAAAGGCCAACAGUUGCGUUAAAUUCCCAUUUUCUGCAUAGACGUAAGAAAUGAGCAAAAAAAGAAACAAAGAAAGAAAUACACUUUUCACCCCUGUAACUCUUUCUGACACUUUUUCAUCUGCUCGGCAGCACUUAUUUGUUAAUAAAAGUGUUAAUUGUAGUGAA
Sebastes umbrosus (honeycomb rockfish) is the source of this 870-nucleotide long non-coding RNA. RefSeq lists it as uncharacterized. The transcript is spliced from 3 exons. NCBI's taxonomy places the organism in Eukaryota, Metazoa, Chordata, Actinopteri, Perciformes, Sebastidae. The record is from RefSeq and is a predicted model, not a curated record.